Non-coding RNA from Podarcis lilfordi (Lilford's wall lizard), 100 nucleotides. NCBI's taxonomy places the organism in Eukaryota, Metazoa, Chordata, Lepidosauria, Squamata, Lacertidae. The record is from the annotation of a GenBank genome assembly.
GAGUUCCCGCUGCAUUACGGAGGCUUCAGGUUCCUUUUGCUGAAGAUUCUCCUGGCUUCAGCAAAAGGAACCCGAAGCCUCCAGAAUGCAGCGGGAACUC